CCAGCAGAUCGCCGCGCUUCACGCGCUGCCCGGCCUUCACCGUCACGCUGCCGGGCUGCAUAUGGGCGUAAAGCACGUAGCUGCCGCCGAUGUCGAGCACGACGAAGUUGCCGUCGGCCUGGCCGAUGGUCAUGCCUGGGGGCAGCGCGCCUGGCACCUGCUCCGGCAAGUCGUUGCGCGAUGACACCACGGUGCCGUCGGCAACGGCCAGGACGUCACGCCCGUAGAUCACGUAGUUCGACAGGGU
This 247-nucleotide unclassified non-coding RNA is filed under the name uncultured bacterium. RNAcentral's name for it is "contains 16S-23S intergenic spacer region". The record is from RNAcentral.